Molecule: long non-coding RNA, 1622 nt
Filed under: Rattus norvegicus (Norway rat)
Lineage: Eukaryota; Metazoa; Chordata; Mammalia; Rodentia; Muridae
Description: long non-coding RNA NONRATT008701
Source: RNAcentral
AGUCCCGUAACUCCAUGUCUAUAUCAAAGGGUUUAUAGUUACCCUUUUGGAUUUGUUGACUGCAACAUACUUUGCCUGAUUCCAUUUCUUGUGUGCAGCCCUCCCUGACAGAUAGCACACGGUUCUGACGCCUCUGGCAUUCAUAGGUCCCAGUGCAACUCAGGCUUUACUUUCACAGCUUCAUGCAGUGGCCUCUUGGGGCUUCUUGCCCUCUCAGGGCCUUCAUGCAGAAACUGCCUCACAACCCAUUCUGUGAUAUUAGUGACUCCUUAACUAUGGAGAAAGAUUCCACAGCCAUGUAUCCUCCCAUGUAUCCUUCAUGACUCUAAGCCAGAUGACAUUGCUGAGUUCUGCAUGCCUCACAUGGAGCCUGACCUUGAGUCACUCCCAGUGGUGUUCAUGUGUUGUUGCCUUUAGAAGCAGAGAAUUCCUUAGGCCUUUUCCUUUCAUAAGUUGGAAUCCUAACUGGGCGGAGCUUUAUCCUGUUCAUCCCUCUUUAUCUGGCUUCUCCUUAAUCUCUAUCUCUUUGAGCACAUUAACUUCCCUGUGGGCUUUUCUUGGAGAUUUUUUAUUGUAGUCCUGUAUAAAAAUGCUGCAGAGCCAGAAUUAAGCUUUCCUGCAAUUUCCUCUAUCAAAGAAAUUAGUCUCAUUACUUUUCACUUCGGGCUUAGGCAGAUUCUUGGGACAAGGGUAGAAGGCAGCUACAUUCUUUGCCAAAAGAAAACAAGAGUAAGUCUUUAGCCAGUUACUAAUGUUUUACCCCUAAGCCUCUUGCUCUAGCCCUCCACAGAUCAUACUCUCAGCAAGGCUGUCUCCUAGGCUUCUACUGGACCCAUUAAGCUCUGCUUACAGCCUUGAACCCUUUAUUUUCUUAGUUCAAAGUCCCAGAGUUUUCUACAUUCCUCCAAAAAAAAAAAAAAAACCAUAUGGUUAGGUCUUUCACAGCUAAGAUCCGCUUCCUGGUACCAGCUUCUGUGUCUUGGCUACUCUUCAAUUGCUAUGACAAAGCACCUGACUAAGGCAGAGAAUAUAGGAAAGCAUUUAUAGGGUUUAUAGUUUAAGAGGGUUUUAGUUCAUGAUAGAAGAACAGUUGAGAACUUUUAUCUUGAUCUGCAAGUAGGAUGCAAAAAGAAAACUCCGGGAAGGGCAUGUUCUUCUGAAACUUCAAAGCCUUCACCUUGUGACACACCUCCCCAACAAAGCCUUAUCUCCUAGUCCUUUCCAAAUAGUUCCUCCAACUGGGGACCAAAUAUUCCAACAUGAGCGCUGGGGAGCAUUCUCCUUCAAACCACUAGUUUCCCAAGGAGCUCUUUCCUAACCACAUCUUGUGCUUCCCCCAGUUGAUGAUUUCACUAGUUAACUUAGGUAGUUUUGCCUUUCUCAGUGGUCACAUCUUCUGCUCAUAUUGAAGAUCCUGCAGCUCCAGUUGGGCUUGAUGUGCAUUUUCUUUGAGGAACUGAUAACAGACAUGUUUAUCUGCAUCUCCAUGAUAGUGAGAAAAAGUAGCUUCGAGGUAAUCAUAGCUGUUAUCAGUCUCAGUCCCUAGUUGAGAAUAGGCUGUGAUCUACCUAGCCCUGGACUCUAGUUAUUUCCUAGACAUGGACCUCCUGGGUGGAAUUGGG